Triticum urartu is the source of this 115-nucleotide non-coding RNA. NCBI's taxonomy places the organism in Eukaryota, Viridiplantae, Streptophyta, Magnoliopsida, Poales, Poaceae. The record is from Rfam.
CUAGUACUCCCUCCGUUCCAAAUUACUCGUCGCAGAAAUGGAUGUAUCUAGAACUAAAAUACAUCUAGAUACAUCCAUACCUACGACAAGUAAUUUGGAACGGAGGGAGUACAUG